Molecule: ribosomal RNA, 220 nt
Filed under: Pseudomonas sp. 2.60.52
Lineage: Bacteria; Pseudomonadati; Pseudomonadota; Gammaproteobacteria; Pseudomonadales; Pseudomonadaceae
Description: partial 16S ribosomal RNA
Rfam family: Bacterial small subunit ribosomal RNA
Source: RNAcentral
ACACAUNCAAGUCGAGCGGUAGAGAGAANCUUGCUUCUCUUGAGAGCGGCGGACGGGUGAGUAAUGCCUAGGAAUCUGCCUGGUANUGGGGGAUAACGUUCGGAAACGAACGCUAAUACCGCAUACGUCCUACGGGAGAAAGCAGGGGACCUUCGGGCCUUGCGCUAUCAGAUGAGCCUAGGUCGGAUUAUCUAGUUGGUGGGGUAAUGGCUCACCAAGG